Molecule: ribosomal RNA, 414 nt
Filed under: uncultured microorganism
Description: bacterial SSU rRNA
Rfam family: Archaeal small subunit ribosomal RNA
Source: RNAcentral
CAGCAGCCGCGGUAAUACCGGCGGCCCGAGUGGUGGCCGCUAUUAUUGGGCCUAAAGCGUCCGUAGCCGGGCCCGUAAGUCCCUGGCGAAAUCCCACGGCUCAACCGUGGGGCUUGCUGGGGAUACUGCGGGCCUUGGGACCGGGAGAGGCGGGGGGGACCCCUGGGGGAGGGGUGGAAUCCUAUAAUCCCAGGGGGGCCGCCCGCGGCGAAGGCGCCCCGCUGGAACGGGUCCGACGGUGAGGGACGAAGGCCAGGGGAGCAAACCGGAUUAGAUACCCGGGUAGUCCUGGCUGUAAAGGAUGCGGGCUAGGUGUCGGGUGAGCUUCGGGCUCGCCCGGUGCCGUAGGGAAGCCGUUAAGCCCGCCGCCUGGGGAGUACGGCCGCAAGGCUGAAACUUAAAGGAAUUGGCGGG